RNAcentral lists this ribosomal RNA (253 nucleotides) under uncultured bacterium. RNAcentral's name for it is "partial 16S ribosomal RNA". It matches the Rfam family "Bacterial small subunit ribosomal RNA", at positions 524 to 776 of the family's 1533-position model. The record is from RNAcentral.
UACAGAGGUCUCAAGCGUUGUUCGGAUUCAUUGGGCGUAAAGGGUGUGUAGGCGGCCAGGUAGGUCUGCUGUGAAAACUCGAGGCUCAACCUCGAGACGUCGGCGGAAACCAUCUGGCUAGAGUCCGGAAGAGGAGAGUGGAAUUCCCGGUGUAGCGGUGAAAUGCGCAGAUAUCGGGAAGAACACCCGUGGCGAAGGCGGCUCUCUGGGACGGUACUGACGCUGAGACGCGAAAGCGUGGGGAGCGAACAGG